GUUGUACAACAGCGGACUCAACGCGCCAAUUUACCAUAUUGCUCUUUCACCACACACCAAUUUGAGUCCUAAAAUCCUCAAAAUUCGGAUGGAAAGACACAGUUUCUCCAUCCAUAUCUCUAAUUAAACAUUUGUUGAAGAUAUAUAUAGAUCCAUAUUCAGUUAUUCAUACGUAGAUUCACCCCAAGAGUAACAAGGUACUACGAGGUUUCACGUAGCCUGCAAAGCAUCACUCUUCUCAGUAAUUAGCUAUUAGCAGUGUUGGAAUAUUGGCAAUGUCAAGGAGGCCAAUAAAUCCGUCUCGAAGAAUAUCAGAGAGUGGGACAGCUCCAUUUUCAUCUUCCGUUUAUUCGAGAUCCCGCUCUCCCCCUUAUUUAUCAUUAGGUCUCAUCAUUCUGGGAGCAUUCCUACUUUUAGUCUAUUUAUAUGGAGGCCAAGGUAAUUAUGCCCUAAACAAGGGAGCUGUCCGUCAGGUUGAAGGUAAUUAUGCUUGAUUUCUUUCGAUGUAUAUACUAUGCUUUUUAUAUUGAGUGGCCUUAUCACAAGAAGAUAAUUAUAACUUGAAAUUAGUUGUUGUAUCAGCACAUUCUUUAGAUCACUUGGAGUAAUUGAUUAUGACAAUUUUGUUGCUUGUGGAUCCAUAGCAUACCCUAAAGUAGCUGUCAUUUGACCAAAAUUCUGAUAAGUUUGGAAUCAUCACGAAGAUAUCCGUCAUCUUGGUUCUUUCAUAUCCACAAAUAAUUGGCACAGGCGAAUAGAACUUUAUAUAACUGAAAUUGCCUUCAUCAAAUAUGAUCACUGCUCUUAGUUCUGAGACAGGUUUGUGGUCAUGCUGGUUGAAUUGCUUUUACUUCCUUUUGGCUUCUUGUUAGUUACUCUCAUUAAAUAUGUUGAAGAAGUUCUUAGACAGCCAAUUGCAAAUCGGUGUGAUUUUGGAAGGGCAGAUUUUGGCAGUAGGAAAUAAUGCACUCAGUAAAUAAGCACUUUAUUGUUUUUGGUUUUAAUCAUCAUAGUUGAUUGUUAUUUUCCAUUGUCUUCCAUGAAUAUGUUUUGUUGGCUUCUGUUAUCUUUAGGCUUAUGACUUGGUUUACAUUGAUUGCAUAAAAUAGUAUAGACUAA
Long non-coding RNA from Olea europaea var. sylvestris, 1119 nucleotides. RefSeq lists it as uncharacterized. NCBI's taxonomy places the organism in Eukaryota, Viridiplantae, Streptophyta, Magnoliopsida, Lamiales, Oleaceae. The record is from RefSeq and is a predicted model, not a curated record. The transcript has 4 exons.